GACGAACGCUGGCGGCGUGCUUAACACAUGCAAGUCGAACGGAAAGGCCCUGCUUUUGUGGGGUGCUCGAGUGGCGAACGGGUGAGUAACACGUGAGUAACCUGCCCUUGACUUUGGGAUAACUUCAGGAAACUGGGGCUAAUACCGGAUAGGAGCUCCUGCUGCAUGGUGGGGGUUGGAAAGUUUCGGCGGUUGGGGAUGGACUCGCGGCUUAUCAGCUUGUUGGUGGGGUAGUGGCUUACCAAGGCUUUGACGGGUAGCCGGCCUGAGAGGGUGACCGGCCACAUUGGGACUGAGAUACGGGCCAGACUCCUACGGGAGGCAGCAGUGGGGAAUAGUGCACAAUGGGCGGAAGCCUGAUGCAGCAACGCCGCGUGCGGGAUGACGGCCUUCGGGUUGUAAACCGCUUUCGCCUGUGACGAAGCGUGAGUGACGGUAAUGGGUAAAGAAGCACCGGCUAACUACGUG
Molecule: ribosomal RNA, 468 nt
Filed under: uncultured bacterium
Lineage: Bacteria
Description: partial 16S ribosomal RNA
Rfam family: Bacterial small subunit ribosomal RNA
Source: RNAcentral